This 1996-nucleotide long non-coding RNA is filed under the name Canis lupus familiaris (dog). RNAcentral's name for it is "lncRNA (ENSCAFG00845018186.1)". The record is from RNAcentral. Lineage: Eukaryota; Metazoa; Chordata; Mammalia; Carnivora; Canidae.
CUGGCUCGUAUCUGACCAGUGAGAAUGGAUGAGUAGAUUAUGUUAAAGUAAAAAUGGAGCAGUCAAGUCAGUGAUGCGACGCUAUUUGUUAAAAACAUUAAGGAUGGUUGGCUCAACGGGCAAGUACAAGGACAUUUAAUAGGGACUCCUGAAAAGCAGAGUAAGUGAAAACAGGAAAAAUUUUUGCUCAAACAUAUAAUGGAAAAAAAAAAAAAAACAAAAAAACAAAACCUGUCGUGCUUAUUCAGGAAUAAAGCACACAAAGGUUUUGAGCAUCGUAUGAAUAACUUGAUAAUUUGAUAAUUGUAGUUUACAGGGCAAAUGUGUGAUACCGGAAUAUGAAAAUAUUUUGCUAAGCCCUAUUAUUGGCCCAUUAUCCUGGUCCAACUUUACUAGAAUUCUGUGCUCUUUGACCAAGGGAAAAUCUAGAAUGUAAAGUGGGUUUAAGAUAAAAAUCACUUGAGAAAAUUAAGACUUUGAGGAUAUCCCAGAGAAUGCUCGUAGUUAUUUCAAAACAUUUGUUCACCAUAAGGCCGGUGAGCAAAUUCUGACAACCCAGAUUAGGUCAAGUUUCGCAGGCAAAGUCUCCAGAGACUGCCCACACUUCUGACACCAGCGGCCAGCUCUGAGGAUCCUAGGCCACUUGUACUUGUUACCAAGAGGGUAUACAUUUGGCAGUCCCCACUAUCCCCUCAGGUUCAGGUUCUAAGGUGCACCAGAAAAAUUCACAGAACUCAACAAAGUGCUAUAGUUCCCAUUUGUUUUGUUACAACGUUUAGGAAUCAGGGCCAGACACAAGAAACCCCCUGGGCAAGGUCUGGGUGCGUUACAGACACUAAGCUUCCAUGUCCUCAGGACACAUCAGCCUCCGGGCACAUCAUUGUGUAUCCCCAACCCCAGAAGCUCUCCGGAGCCUUCCUGUGGUUUUUUUUAAGCCUACAGAGCCCUGAUUGACUGAAUCACUGACUACAUGAGUCUUUGCUCUUCUCUGGAGGUUGGGCUGAUACGAUGAGGCUCAAAACCCCAACUCCUUGGUCAGUCACAGGGGUAGUCACUCUGGCUUGGUCAGCCCCUACUUUGGAACCAUCUAGGGACCCACCGGGAAUAUCACAGACAUGCCCAUCACUUGGAAAUCCCAAAGAUGAAAAACUCCUUCCAGAAACCAAGGAAAAAGGCCAGCUCAAUUCUUCAGUCUAUAUGUGGGCCUUACCAAGGACUCUGUUGAGGCUUACCUCUAGGUCAAAUCUAGAGUGAUCCAUAGGAGAUGGCCGGAUUCUUCUAUUAUUUCGUUGUUGCACUGAUUAUACCAAAAAAGUGGACAGAAAAUGGCAGAACUCAGAACACAGGUUAUCCAGUAAUUUUUUUGCCUAAUGGUAUUCUUUAUCACAGGUCUUUUAUGACACAGAUAUUUACUGAGCACCUACUAUGUGAUGGGCACCUUGUGUGGAUACUGCCGCAGAAAUGCUUUGUCUACAUACUGCUGAAAACAAAUACAUCCAUCUGCAUUUAACUAAUGUUCCAAUCGGUCCUUAAUGUUUUACAAACUUUUCACUAAAAAUAUUUCAUCAUUUAUUAUGUUACUUUGGGUUACUUUUAUGCCCAUAGGGGAGUAUAGUCCUCAACCUCUGUAUCUGCAAAACCGUGGACAUAAUCACACCUACUUAGAAGGGCAAACAGUUGGUUAAGAGCCUGACUCUGGGACUAGGUUGCCUGACAGCUCCGGUUCUUUCUAGCCAUGUCAGGUUAGGAAUGUCACCUAAUCCCACCUGCCACAGCUUUCUCAUCCGUAAAAUGGUAAUACUUGCCCUCAUAGAGAUGUUGUGAGGAUUAAAUAAAUUAUUGAGUAUUUCACUUAUAAUAGUGCCUGGCACCUAACAAGCACAUUUCAGUGAUUUUAGCAAUUAUUAUUUUAAUUCCCUUAUUAAUUAUAUUUAUUAGUUAUAUUUGGGUUGUUGUGUUCAUAUCGGAUAAUAUUUAUGAAUGCUAUUAUAAAACU